GAGGGUAUAGUGUAGUGGAUAUCAUCAGGGGCUUCGGAUCCUUGGACUCCGGUUCGAAUCCGGAUACCCUCG
RNAcentral lists this transfer RNA (72 nucleotides) under Methanobacteriota archaeon. RNAcentral describes it as "Euryarchaeota archaeon tRNA-Arg". It matches the Rfam family "tRNA". From Rfam's summary of the family: Transfer RNA (tRNA) molecules are approximately 80 nucleotides in length. Their secondary structure includes four short double-helical elements and three loops (D, anti-codon, and T loops). Further hydrogen bonds mediate the characteristic L-shaped molecular structure. tRNAs have two regions of fundamental functional importance: the anti-codon, which is responsible for specific mRNA codon recognition, and the 3' end, to which the tRNAs corresponding amino acid is attached (by aminoacyl-tRNA synthetases). tRNAs cope with the degeneracy of the genetic code in two manners: having more than one tRNA (with a specific anti-codon) for a particular amino acid; and 'wobble' base-pairing, i.e. permitting non-standard base-pairing at the 3rd anti-codon position. Lineage: Archaea; Methanobacteriati; Methanobacteriota. The record is from RNAcentral.